RNAcentral lists this ribosomal RNA (151 nucleotides) under uncultured bacterium. RNAcentral's name for it is "partial 16S ribosomal RNA". It matches the Rfam family "Bacterial small subunit ribosomal RNA", at positions 1351 to 1500 of the family's 1533-position model. The record is from RNAcentral.
AGCAUGCCGCGGUGAAUACGUUCCCGGGCCUUGUACACACCGCCCGUCACACCAUGGGAGUUUGUAACGCCCAAAGUCGGUGGCCUAACCUUUAUGGAGGGAGCCGCCUAAGGCGGGACAGAUGACUGGGGUGAAGUCGUAACAAGGUAAC